UCCUUUAGAUGAGACCAUAGUUAGUAAAUAGGCGAUUAACCCCCGAUUUUUUGAAAAAUUCGACGUUUUUUUGAAAAAUGUUUAAAACGACGUUUUUUUAAAAGUUCGUCAAAAAAUCGUGGUUUUUCAUUAAAACGUUAAAAACGCGUUUUUUUGGAGAACAAAUUAAACGGGCCCAAAAAAAGCAUUUUUACUUGUAUUUUUUAAAAAAAAAGAAAAAAAUUUUCUGAUAUGUGUAAUUUCUAAAAAAGCGUACAAUUUCCAUAAAAAAAAAAAUCCUAACAGAGAAAACCCAUGUUCUUGCAAAUUUCAUAAUCUUUAUGUUCCUGAAAAAACAUAUUAUUUCCAUCAACAAACAUAACCUUCAUGUUCCUGCAAAUUUCAUAAUCUUCAUGCUCCUGAAAACCCCCUUCCCCAAGAACCCCAUUUGAUUUUCUCUCUAACAGAGAAAACCCCCAUCUUCAAUUUUGAACUUUUUCCAAACUCACAAAGCAAACCCCCCAUCCCCAAUUUUGAAGAAGCAUACCCUGUUUUCAAUGAAACGCAGGUCUUCGAAAGACCUUGCUGUUCUAUCGAGCUUCCUUAUCAGUGAGAUCAAGGGAGAAGAGAGCUCUAUCGAGCUUCUUCAUGUUCUCAAGUCUUCUAAAGCCUUGCUCCAUCUUUUUCCCAAAAAUCUUCGAGUUUCAC
RNAcentral lists this long non-coding RNA (687 nucleotides) under Amborella trichopoda. RNAcentral describes it as "long non-coding RNA (ATRI_LNC004141)". The record is from RNAcentral. Lineage: Eukaryota; Viridiplantae; Streptophyta; Magnoliopsida; Amborellales; Amborellaceae.